Solanum pennellii is the source of this 867-nucleotide long non-coding RNA. RefSeq lists it as uncharacterized. Lineage: Eukaryota; Viridiplantae; Streptophyta; Magnoliopsida; Solanales; Solanaceae. The transcript is spliced from 2 exons. The record is from RefSeq and is a predicted model, not a curated record.
UUCCCCUUUUUUCCGCGCCGCUGUCGUACGUUUUACCCUUUGUUCUUUCUUAAAUUUCUGCUUAGCUAUGCUUCCUCCUUGGAUUAAUAUUUGCCUCUGUCUUCUCUUGCUUUGGGUUAUCAGCAUGAUCAAUGAUUUUAGCCACCUUGUCUGCCGUUGAUUCUCCUAACAAGAUUGUGUUCUCAGGUUCCAUGGGUUUGAAGUGUUGCUACUUUUUCUGAAUCUUGGCUAAUCAUAGAUAACCUUCUCAUUUUGGUGUGUUUAUCCUUAUUUACUAUUUGCAUCUUCUGACUUGCUUUUCUGCUUUCUGAUUUGUGUUUUCCCGUAGGUAGUUUGUGACAAGGUACAUGGGAAGCUUUGCACCACUAUCCUUCGUUGAUGAUAAAGUACAUUUCCUCCAGGUUCAAUAAUUUUAUCUUGCCACCAGAUGCUCUCAUUAGGUCGAGUCCUUUUUUGCUGGUUGUUAGAGUAUAGGCUAAUUUAGAAAAUUAUAGUUCAAAUAAUAUAGAAAUUUACUAUCAAAGAGUUAAUAUUGUUGAGUUGUUUUUCUGCAAUCUUGUUCUCAUCUAUCAAGUACAAGUAUAUUACAAUCUUAUUUUUUCUUUUAACCGUGUUGUCUGGUCCUUUCUUCUUUACAUUUGUGUUAAUUCUCUGUAUAUAGUGAAUCUUGUCCGUUAUUCUAGGUUUUGUCUAAUGGAAGAUAUCUUAAACACUGGAGUGUUCACCUCUUAAAUACAUAGAAGGGGUGGUCAUUAACCUAGUAUUUAAGAUAUCUUCUGCUAGGUGAGAAUCAUACAAAGGGUAAGAUCCACUAUAUCAGAGAACACAACUAUAAGAAAGAAGGGACCAGACAACAGAAUUAAAAGA